Molecule: transfer RNA, 84 nt
Filed under: Elusimicrobia bacterium RIFOXYA2_FULL_50_26
Lineage: Bacteria; Pseudomonadati; Elusimicrobiota
Also listed under: 1 other name
Description: tRNA-Leu
Rfam family: tRNA
About the family: Transfer RNA (tRNA) molecules are approximately 80 nucleotides in length. Their secondary structure includes four short double-helical elements and three loops (D, anti-codon, and T loops).
Source: RNAcentral
GCCGAGGUGGUGGAAUUGGCAGACACGCAGGCCUCAGGAGUCUGUCCCCGCAAGGGGGUGCGAGUUCAACUCUCGCCCUCGGCA